CUGCAUAUAAUACUUACAUAACAAUUUAUUCCAGCAGCUCAUAUGGAAGGCAUCCACAAACUAUAUAAUGGUGUUUUUUUUGUCAUUGUGGUUGGAGUUGAAGGGGUGUUUACAUGUUUUUGACAUAUUUUUAUGCAAAUUAAUUGGCACCAUCCGACCAAAAGCAUUUAGGCAAACUAUUUUCAUUACUUGCUCCAGAUACUUUGAUAAUCACAUGUAAAAAGACGAUGUAUUGGUUCAAGCUAAUAAACUAAGAGAAUGUUCAAAGGCUAAAAAAAUGACUAGAUGAGAAUUAGCCUUAUAGAGUUGUCUAAUAGACACACUGAAGUAGAAUCAAGAACAUCACAUACACGAGGUUGAUUCAGGAUAUGUACAACGAAGUGGAAUACUCGUGGGUGAGGAUGAAGGAGUUUAUUAGCCUUGGUGAUGUAUGUUUUGAUGUGGCUUAUUCAAGGGGGGUGUCUUGGUGAAUGUGCUGACGACGAGACCAGAGGAGGAGUUAAUGAUAAACUGACAGACUCUAGAGUCUAAAGGGUUUAAGGUUGAGCAGGAUCAAGAUGGAGUACUUGGAAUGUAAGUUCAGUGAUUCGAUGCAUGAGACUGAUGUGGUAGUGGAGUUGGAUUUUUAGGCUAUUUGAUGAGGAUGGAAUGUGGCAGCUUUGAGAGGCAACUAUGCUAAAUAGCGCAGACGAAACAGAUGCUAACCUUUCCUCGCUCUUACGUGAUUGCAGGUCCCUUCUUCGUCAGCUGGGUAGUCCGGAACUCAUUCACAUCUACAGAGCGCACGCUAGAAUAGACUAGCUGACAACCUAGCAAGAUGAGUCAUCUCUAUUGCACACCCAUCCAAUAUAUCUACUAGUUUUGUGGCCUAUAGGAUGCUGUUACUUUUUGGUCGCCUCCUCCAGACACGAUGGAUGUUUUGAAUGCAGAUAAAAGAGGAGACUUCGCUACUAGACGCGUUAAGACUGUGGGAGUUUUACUGACUAGUACUUCUGUACGUACUCCUAGUACUGCUUUGUUAGGAACUAUUGGAUGGUCUGUAAAUAUUGCAUAAUGGGCAGAUACUAUGAUGAUAGUGCUACCAAA
This is a long non-coding RNA of Capsicum annuum, 1086 nucleotides long. RefSeq lists it as uncharacterized. NCBI's taxonomy places the organism in Eukaryota, Viridiplantae, Streptophyta, Magnoliopsida, Solanales, Solanaceae. The record is from RefSeq and is a predicted model, not a curated record. The transcript has 2 exons.